Molecule: long non-coding RNA, 852 nt
Organism: Hypanus sabinus (Atlantic stingray)
Lineage: Eukaryota; Metazoa; Chordata; Chondrichthyes; Myliobatiformes; Dasyatidae
Exons: 3
Source: RefSeq, a predicted model, not a curated record
CAGGCUGCUAAAACGCUUAACGUCUGAGCAUGAAAACUUAAGGAUUAGGAUCAGGAAUAGGCCAUCUGGCCUUCCCAACUGCCUCUGACAUUCAUCGAAAUCAUCGCCUGAUUUAUCUCUGAUCUGCUUCCUGUCUUGUCCACGUGAUCCCAUUAACAGUGGCCCGGUCUCUGCCUUUAAUGGGCUCCGUGAGUGAGAUUCCCCAGCUCCCCAGGGAGGGAGUCCUGCACAUUUAUUCAGCCUGGCACGAUUCUAUCAGGCGUGGAGCUGAACUGUACCGAUGGGCAAAGAGACAGAGUCAACGAGUCAGCCACAUGGACACAGGGCUUCCAAAUCACAGUGGCAAUCCGACCUAGAGCCUUUUGCCUCUGGUGGCUGGGGUUCUGUAAGUCUAUGAUCUGCAGCUGCACUUAAACAGCAGUUUUUCACGGCAGAUGGAGCUCACCGCACGGCCGUUUCCUCAUAUCCAGGGGUGGCCUGGAAGAUGCACGCCUCUGGAUGACGUCAGUCACCAACUGAAGCAUCGCUGGAGAAGGAACAUUCGAAUUUCACGACAGCACAUGGAGCUGACAGAGGUCUCUGUACUCGAGUUAUCGCUCCAUCUCUCCACUUCACUCAAUGGUGGGAAGAAUUUGCUGCCAACUCUCCAGUCGGAGAAUCUCGGAAUAAAAAGUGAUGUGGCAGAUUGUAACAUCACAACAGCGAGUCCCCCCUUUCGCUGUGAAAUGGCUGACAUCUCUCUGUCCCUCGCUAGCGAGGGAGCGAGCCUGUGGCAUGUCAAACUGUCGGGUAAACCAUAGUUCUGGUUGACUGCAGAUCAUGGUCUCUCUUUGCUGUUACUUGCUUGGUGAG